UUGCGCACUCUCCAAGGCCAUCUCUGCAGCAGCUGAUUGAAACAGACUGAAAGUCUGAUUUCAGUUUCUACUUAAGGCAAUUUUUGGUUUGGUGUCUUGGUUUGGAAAGACAGGUAUCUGCUAAGGAAGGCAGGAGCCUCCCCUGAAAUGAAAAAAAUGUAGACCCCCUCCCUCCAAAUUGUUAUAAAUUUGAAAUUAAGGGAGGGCUUUCAGGCAAAAAUAUGGGAGCAGGAAUAAUAGUUCUUAGGAAAGAAAAUAAAAAUAUAAAAUAAACAAUCCAGUGAACCAAACCAACACUAACAGGGUCAGAAUACAACCUGACCCCUUGUUAGUCAGGGUGUUAGCAGCAGUCCAAUUGGAAUUGUGGCUGCACUCCUCCUGGAGUGGCAGGUGUGGUUCUAUUGGAGCAGUGAUCCGGUAGAAAACGAGUGUAUUCUUCCUCUGAAGAUGCAGUGGAAGAGGCAGCUGUUCCUCUGGGAAGUCCAGUGCAGGAAAAGCUGUGCUGGUGUUCCAGAAACUCAAGAUUAUAUCCAGGUAGAAAUGCUUGGCUCCUCCCUCUAGGCGGAGCAUCUCACAAUGGGAUGUUACAUUUCUUACCAGCCACACAGUGACAUUCAAUAGCCCAUUAUCAGCAGAUGUCUCCCCUGAGAGGGGAUUGGUUGUGGAAAAGAUAUGGAAAACCGCCCACUUAACAGAAGACAACUGCCAUGCAGAUGGCAAAUAGAAUACAUCUUGCCUUUCAAUCUAGGUGAUUUGGGUAGAUUUCCACCAACAGAAGACUUUGUCCCACUGCCCCAUUCAACAAUAGUUUUGACACAUUAUUGCCUGCUUCAAUCUCAUAAAGUGCAAAAGACUUCAUUCAGUAAAUGUAAACAGGGUGAAGAACAAAUUUCAAUACCUGCUGGCAGCAAAGCAGAGCAGGGCUCAGACUCAGGUUGUCUGCUCUUAAGCACUACAUGCAUGUUGACUCACCACUGGAAAGGACCUGGGGUGGGGCAGCUAGCCUGGGAGGCAAUGGGCUCAGACAUGGGAAAACUCAGAAAAGCUUGACUCCUGCUCUCACAGACACUGAGGCAGCCUGGGCAGCCUGGCCAUGGGGUUCUGCCCCCACACUUGGGUACUGGUGCCAUAAAAAUGUUUCACCGUGCAGAGGACUGACAUUUGUGCUGGAUUCUGAUAAUGCAGGCUUCUCCGCCACACACUAAUGUCAAGAAAUACCUUACCCUUAAAAAGAGACAACCUCAAAAGAUUGUAGUUUGCUUUUACUUCCAUCAUGAGAUGGACUGGAAAUUUAGUUUUUUAAAUGUUCAAGACGUAAAAUGAGUUUUCAGACUGGGUUAGCCACACAAUGGGAAAACAAGGAUAAUUUAGCAUUUACAAAAAAGCUUGUCAAGUUUUGUUUGCUUCUACCAAUAUCAGCCAGGGAAGUUUGAGACUUGCUUGCAUGCAGAGUCUGGAGAGUAAGUAGGAUUGAAAAGUUCUACAUUUGGCUACUCUUUCUCACCAUGCUGAAAAUCAGCAAAGGAUCAUUCAAUUCCCUUCACUUUGAAACCAUUUUACUCUGUCAGGUAGAUAUACUAUACUAGUGAAAGUACCAAGAACUACAUUAAGAACCCUGUGGGAUACUAUGUAUUCCAUUAUAUUUAUGAGUGCUUUGCCAUAAAUACCAGAUAGACUGUUGAAUUCUAUGCUGAUUGUGUGCAUCUUCUUUAACUUUUAACUCCCCCCUACUUCACUCCAUUCAUGUCUUGCUCCUGUUACUCUCCAAAGUUUGUCUGAUGGCUUCUGUUCCAUCUCUGUUUUUCUUUUCCACACUUUCUGAGCAUAAUUGGAUUACUGCUUUUUCAAGCAUUUGAGUAUUUUUGCUCUACUCUUUUCUCAUCAUGUAAUAAUUCCCUAGAUUUAGUUUCAUUCUCAUAAUUCAUCAGCAUUUGAUUUCUUAGUUGGCAUUUUUCCUUGCAUCUCUCUCUGUUUAUUCUCAUCAUCCCACUUAUUCAAUACUACACACUCCUCCAAGGGCUAAUUCCUCAUUCUGGGUUUUACUCCAAUAUUUUUCUCCUACAUCACCACUCCAUCACAGUGUAUGAGACACUUGGAAGUUUUAAAGAGGUACCUUUCCUCCAAAAUUACAUCACAUCUGUAUUUAAAAUGCCACAGAGUGCCAUCUCUUCUAAUUAAAAAAAAAAAAAAAAGAAAAAAAAAAAAAAAAAAAAA
Molecule: long non-coding RNA, 2214 nt
Organism: Taeniopygia guttata (zebra finch)
Lineage: Eukaryota; Metazoa; Chordata; Aves; Passeriformes; Estrildidae
Source: Ensembl